GCGGUUGUAGUCUAAUGGUAGGACACAAGCUUGCCAAGCUUGUAACCCGGGUUCGAGUCCCGGCAGCCGCA
This 71-nucleotide transfer RNA is filed under the name Candidatus Woesearchaeota archaeon. RNAcentral's name for it is "tRNA-Gly". It matches the Rfam family "tRNA". From Rfam's summary of the family: Transfer RNA (tRNA) molecules are approximately 80 nucleotides in length. Their secondary structure includes four short double-helical elements and three loops (D, anti-codon, and T loops). Lineage: Archaea; Nanobdellati; Candidatus Woesearchaeota. The record is from RNAcentral.